CGGGGGGGGCAAGCGUUGUUCGGAAUUACUGGGCGUAAAGGGCCAGUAGGCGGCCAACUAAGUCGGAUGUGAAAUCCCCAGGCUCAACCUGGGAACUGCAUCCGAUACUGGAUGGCUUGAAUUCGGGAGAGGGAUGCAGAAUUCCAGGUGUAGCGGUGAAGUGCGUAGAUAUCUGGAGGAAUACCGGUGGCGAAGGCGGCAUCCUGGACCGACAUUGACGCUAAACGGCGAAAGCUAGGGGAGCAAACGGGAUUAGAUACCCCGGUAGUCCUAGCCCUAAACGAUGAAUGCUUGGUGUAACGGGUAUCGAUCCCUGUUGUGCCGAAGCUAACGCAUUAAGCAUUCCGCCUGGGGAGUACGGUCGCAAGGCUG
This 372-nucleotide ribosomal RNA is filed under the name uncultured organism. RNAcentral's name for it is "bacterial SSU rRNA". It matches the Rfam family "Bacterial small subunit ribosomal RNA", at positions 526 to 896 of the family's 1533-position model. The record is from RNAcentral.